RNAcentral lists this ribosomal RNA (398 nucleotides) under uncultured bacterium. RNAcentral describes it as "bacterial SSU rRNA". It matches the Rfam family "Bacterial small subunit ribosomal RNA", at positions 358 to 772 of the family's 1533-position model. The record is from RNAcentral.
GGAAUCUUGCGCAAUGGGCGAAAGCCUGACGCAGCAACGCCGCGUGGGGGACGAAGGCCUUCGGGUUGUAAACCCCUUUCAGCAGGGACGAUUAUGACGGUACCUGCAGAAGAAGCCCCGGCCACCUACGUGCCAGCAGCCGCGGUAAUACGUAGGGGGCGAGCGUUGUCCGGAGUUAUUGGGCGGAAAGAGCUCGUAGGCGGUUUGGCAAGUCGGGUGUGAAAACGCCGGGCUCAACGCGGAGACGCCACUCGAUACUGCUAUGACUCGAGUCCGGUAGGGGAGUGCGGAAUUCCUGGUGUAGCGGUGAAAUGCGCAGAUAUCAGGAGGAACACCGGUGGCGAAGGCGGCACUCUGGGCCGGUACUGACGCUGAGGAGCGAAAGCGUGGGGAGCGAA